GAUGAACGCUGGCGGCGUGCCUAAUACAUGCAAGUCGAGCGAACAGACGAGGAGCUUGCUCCUCUGACGUUAGCGGCGGACGGGUGAGUAACACGUGGAUAACCUACCUAUAAGACUGGGAUAACUCCGGGAAACCGGAGCUAAUACCGGAUAAUAUAUUGAACCGCAUGGUUCAAUAGUGAAAGACGGUUUUGCUGUCACUUAUAGAUGGAUCCGCGCCGCAUUAGCUAGUUGGUAAGGUAACGGCUUACCAAGGCAACGAUGCGUAGCCGACCUGAGAGGGUGAUCGGCCACACUGGAACCGAGACACGGUCCAGACUCCUACGGGAGGCAGCAGUAGGGAAUCUUCCGCAAUGGGCGAAAGCCUGACGGAGCAACGCCGCGUGAGUGAUGAAGGUCUUCGGAUCGUAAAACUCUGUUAUUAGGGAAGAACAAAUGUGUAAGUAACUAUGCACGUCUUGACGGUACCUAAUCAGAAAGCCACGGCUAACUACGUG
RNAcentral lists this ribosomal RNA (497 nucleotides) under uncultured bacterium. RNAcentral's name for it is "partial 16S ribosomal RNA". It matches the Rfam family "Bacterial small subunit ribosomal RNA", at positions 28 to 507 of the family's 1533-position model. The record is from RNAcentral.